UACGAAGGGGGCUAGCGUUGCUCGGAAUCACUGGGCGUAAAGCGCACGUAGGCGGACUCUUAAGUCGGUGGUGAAAUCCUGGAGCUCAACUCCAGAACUGCCUUUGAUACUGAGAAGCUGGAGUCCGGGAGAGGUGAGUGGAACUGCGAGUGUAGAGGUGAAAUUCGUAGAUAUUCGCAAGAACACCAGUGGCGAAGGCGGCUCACUGGCCCGGUACUGACGCUGAGGUGCGAAAGCGUGGGGAGCAAACAGG
This 253-nucleotide ribosomal RNA is filed under the name uncultured bacterium. RNAcentral describes it as "partial 16S ribosomal RNA". It matches the Rfam family "Bacterial small subunit ribosomal RNA", at positions 524 to 776 of the family's 1533-position model. The record is from RNAcentral.